Dreissena polymorpha is the source of this 4392-nucleotide long non-coding RNA. RefSeq lists it as uncharacterized. Lineage: Eukaryota; Metazoa; Mollusca; Bivalvia; Myida; Dreissenidae. The transcript has 7 exons. The record is from RefSeq and is a predicted model, not a curated record.
AAAAUGGCAAAUUGUAGACAAACAGCGCACAACAGACAAAAGCGGAUCAUAAAAGCUCACCAUGUGCUUUGUUAUGCGCAGGAGUAUGAAACAUUUCUGCUGGGUUUUGUUAUGUCCAACAUUUACUCUCUUAUGAGUGUGGCCCAGCUUGUGUUGAGUUUCCUGGUAGAAGAGGUACCAGUCACUACUAGAAAGAUGCGCUUGAAUGCUACGACUGCCGAAAUGUCACAGAUACGAACCUGCAACCGAACGGUCACGAGCUAUCCACGUUAAUCAUGUUCCAUGGUAGCAGUAACGCUGGUUUCUUCUGAAAGAACAAACACGUUGAAUUGCAAAGACAAUAAUAUAAAUAUUUUCAAACUGUAAUAAGGAAAACAUGUUAUUCGUUCUUGCUCAGUGAGAAUGAUAAAAUAUGUUCCGUUAUUUAUUUCAUUUAGUUAUUGAACUCUUUUAAUACAAAUUGAAAAUCUGUCUUAUUUUACACUUUUUAAGUUUUAACUGCAAAAACAUAUUAUUUUGAUAUUUCAGUAUACUGUGAUUCCCUUGAACGGUUAUGAGUAGUGUACUAUCAAUAAAUCAGACAUAUGUAUUGAAGGUAGUUUUAAGUAGCUGUAUACAAGUUUUACUUGGAAAUAAUGGCCUUUCCUACUGAGGUUAUUACCAAUGAAAUUUAUUAUAGAGUUCUGUCUCUUGUCCGUGUUUUAAGCAAUGUCACCAAAACAGUUCGACCGGUCCUUUGAUUAGUCGAUCUGUUGCGUCCGCGUCCCAAGAAUCAUUUUCUACCAAACGUGAUGCUCCGUCUUGUCAUGAAUGUCGCUCCACCCCCUUGUGCAACAAGGCUCUGUUCUACCAAACGAGAUGCUCCGUCUUGUCAUGAAUGUCGCUCCACUCCCUUGUGCAACAAGGCUCUAUGUAAACACUCAAGACGUACGUGCCCUUGCUUUUUAGAGUGAUGUCUCUUUAGUCGCAUUAUUGAUGUAUAGACCUCGAAAACAUGUUUUUUUAAUAAUGGAACUCAUUUAAGAAAUACGAGUAGAUAAAUACGUGUGUUUGUAAUAUAAACAAAAGCACACAAUAUUAUUAUUCAAUCUGAAUGAAUCCAGUAUACACUAGGAAUUUGUUUACGUCCUUGUUUAAUUGAAAAAAGUGUAUUUGAUUUUUUUUAUUCAAUAUAAGACAUACAAUUUAUACAUGUAUAUGCUCAUAAAACAAAGUGAUCAUGUAGCACGCUAAUGUUCAAACAUGUUAUACAAGAUAAAUGCUAAUAUAUACUUUUUUGUUCUUGUGAUUACAAAAAAGGAAAAAAAGGUAAAUAUGUAUUUUUUUGUUUUUUGGUUGUUUGUAAAAAAACAACAACAACAUAAUAGUUUAGAAUAAAGAUGAAUUGCAUAAAGUGGGUAAAAAGCAUACUGAAAUUGUUUAUGAAAGUUUAAUGUGUUUCCAGUUUUGUUCAAAUAAGUGAAGUGUAUCAUUGUUUAGGGCGAUUUCUUUUUAAUUUGAAUCUUCAGUUUUAAAUAAUUAAUACACCAGUUCAUGGUAGGUCUUUGUUUUCUGUAUUUCAUGCUGAAUAUAAAAUAUUUCAUUAAUAUAAUUAUGUAAUAUACAGCGUUAUUAACCUCUUGAAUUUUGAAGGUAUUUACCUCUAAACUGAUGUCUAAGAGAGAUAGUUUAACAUUUAGUUUGUGUUUCUCAAGAAAGGUUGUCAAUUGAUUCCAUAGAGAUUGAAUAUGUUUACAAUCCCUGAAAAGGUAUUCUAUUGUUUCAAUAUGUUCACUACAUAUAUCACAUAGAUUUGUGUUGGAUAGGUUGCACUUAAAAAGAUGUUUAUUUGUAGCUAUGAUUCUCUGGCUGUAUUUAUAUUGAAAGUGUCUCAGUUUGCGAUCAAAGUUUAUUUGAUGACGUGUAUUAUGCUGUCGUGAGACUGUCGGUGUCAUUUCAAUGUUUAUUAAACAUGUUCUAUAUAUUGAGGUAUAUUUAUUCUGAUCAAUGCUUAUUAUUCAAAACAUUCCAAGACACAUGAAUUUUCAGCAAGAAAUUGUGUUGACGAUCCGUCCGUCGAUUGUGCGAAGAUGGAUUCCAUAUUCAACGUGUGUGCCGAUAUUCAAAAAGCGAAAUUGGUUUGCCCGAGGUUUUUCAACCUCUGUAACGUGGGAAGGGAGUUAGUGAUUACGACAAUUGUGUUGCUUGAUUGUUUAGUUGAUGGACAUUGGAACUGGUUGUCUUCUUCGAGCGGAUGUAACGUCACGUGCGCAAAUGGAACUCAAGCACGUCAUCGAAUUUGCACCGAUCCUGCACCUCACAAUGGUGGACUGGACUGUGUGGGAACAGGAACUGAGAGUCAGACGUGCAUUAUGGAUUCGUGUCCUGUGGGCACCAUCGGGUUCAUGCUCAGUUACAUGCGACAUUGGCAUGCAGAGACGGGUCAGAUCGUGUGACAACCCAUUACCGACAAAAGGUAGGGACAAUUGUUUGGGAGAUUCCAGAGAGGACCGAAUAUGCCUCGCUACAGGAUGCACGGGUAUGUACCGGCGGAUAUGUAUUUGAUGAUUUUCUCAACUGAAACGUUCACCAGAAUUAUUAUAAUUGAGCAUAUUCUUUUAAACGAAAACACAUAAGUGCAUGUAUCAAUUAGCAAAGCAAAUAAUAACUAAAACCAAAUAUAGCAUCCUCUAAAAAAUAAUUGUCUUCCCGCUUGAUGACCGUUGCCAUGAUAACACCCACAUUUUGUACAGCAAUCGCCACACGAGUCGUCAUAUUUAUGAAAUGUAUGUGUAUAUUUUUCCGUUUGUAUUGUAUUCCUUAUGACUGAUUGUAUGGCUUGGUAGCGUAAAUGUUUUCGUCGUUUGUUUCUAUAUACAAGUUAAAAGACCUGUGUCAUAAUGAACACCUAACAACAUCUACUUUAAGCUGCUUAUUACCACAGCGUUGUGUAUGAAAAAGUCCAUAUAAAAACACACACACUACGACGUUCGGUCGACAGCAUGGGACUCGGUUCGGUAUUAAUAUAAAUCACGUCGGAUAUUAUGCACACGUUAAAGUACUUCUUUUUUUUGAUGGACAUUGGUUGGCGUGGGACAACUGGAGUUCCUGUUCUGCGUCGUGUGGUGGAGGGCGUUAAACUAGAAACAGAGCAUGCAAUAAUCCACUUCCGUCUCUUCUUGGCCGUUACUGUGAUGGCCUUCCACAAGACAUUGAGAUCUGUAACGGUGCUUCUUGCACAGGUUAUGAUAUUGUAUUUUUUGUUGACCAACCAGCCAUGCCAGGUUGUUGGUUAUCAAAAGACUAUACAUACAAAACAUGUCGUGCGGAAUUUGGUAGAUAUAAUUCACACCCAAAUUACCAAUUUAGUCUUCAAGAAGCAACGUUUACGGAAGCCAAUUCAGGAGUGUAUAUGUUUACAUGGACUUUUAUCAUAUCACAGACUCAUAGCUGUCAACGAGUGUCUUGUGACCUAAAUAAAAACUACCAUUUACUGUCGACAAUUGCGAUCGAUACAACUAACACUAGGGUAGAGUCUAGUGUACUGGUAUACAUGUAAAAAAAGAUUACGUGAAAUUGGACAGAUGUGUUUGUCACAAUUCAAAUCGUGGAAACCUCCAACUCGCCAGACCACUCGACAGCCGAUCCACAUUAACGGGCAUUUUUAUGCAUUAGUUAAGAUGCACAUUUUGAUUAUAACGUCAUUAUUAAUAUACAUGAUGGGUAAUAUGGAAUGAUUCACUAUGCUUAGAAUGUUUCUAAAUCAUUAAUUUUUUGUUGAUCAUGCCGAAACAUUUUUAACAGCUGCAUUAUUUCUUGAGAGUUUUAAUUAUUUUGCCGUUUUGUGUUUUUGCUUUUCAUGUACUAGUUCACUGACUUUGAAUGUUAUUCCGAAACACGAAACAUUAAAGUAUCGCAAAUGAAAUCAAAUGGUGCAUUUAUUAGUCCAAUACUUUAAAAUUAAAUUAUGAUUUCUUCUUAUCAAAAUAUACUUUGUCACUGUGGCAUUUAUCUUGUUAAACAUUAUGGUUUGAUUUGACACAAAUUGUGCCCACAUUUGUUCUUUCCAGCAGCUUUCUUAAUUGCAAUUAUUAUGAAUGCCAUUCUGGUUCGAUAGAACAGAGACCUAAGCGUAUAAGAAGUUUUAACGCAAACAAUGCAAGACAAAUGAUUCGCUGUAUUGUGUGCACAUAAUGAGACCCAGGCGUUUAAGAUGUUUUAAUGCAACCGAUGCAAGAGAAAUGAUUCGCUGUAUUGUGUUCACAUAAUGAGACCCAGGCGUAUAAGAAGUUUUAACGCAAACAACGCAAGAUAAAUAAUUUGCUGUACUGUGUUUACAUAAUCAUUUUCACCUUAACGACUGAACGAUGUAUUCACCGAAUUCGCAAUAAUUUUGUACUUAUGUCACUAUUG